AGGGAAAUGAUGGAAGAAUCGCAUGACUUUCGAGGGGGACUCGCUUGCUUUUUAACACUAAAAUAUUCGGUAGGUAGGCCAGGCACGUAGGCAGGCGUAUGAAAAGUAACGUGCCUGCGAGCCGAUUGCCUGAACUUCCAAACAUUAGUCUAACAGGGAAUUAUGCAGAACAUAAGCGCCUUGCAGGCAGGUAAACAAGCUUGUAGGCAGCAAGUAGGUAUG
Caenorhabditis elegans is the source of this 222-nucleotide non-coding RNA. Lineage: Eukaryota; Metazoa; Nematoda; Chromadorea; Rhabditida; Rhabditidae. The record is from Ensembl.